RNAcentral lists this transfer RNA (72 nucleotides) under Teladorsagia circumcincta. It matches the Rfam family "tRNA". Rfam says of the family: Transfer RNA (tRNA) molecules are approximately 80 nucleotides in length. Their secondary structure includes four short double-helical elements and three loops (D, anti-codon, and T loops). The record is from Rfam by way of RNAcentral. Lineage: Eukaryota; Metazoa; Nematoda; Chromadorea; Rhabditida; Trichostrongylidae.
UACUGCUCCGCGCAAUGGUAGCGCGUUCGACUUUAGAUCGAAAGGUAGGGCGUUCGAUCCGCUCAGUGGUCA